GAAUCAGAGACCAAAGUGUUUUCUCAGCCACUGUCUCACUGGGUGACUGUGGCCAUCUCAGGUCACCUUAAUCUCCUAUUUUUUGUUUUUAUGGAGAACCCUAAGACAACCUCCACCCAGGUUUCAAGGUCUUCCUUAAUUCAACCCCACCCUAACAUCCAGUCUCAUUUCAAAAGAUUAAUAUUACUAUAUGAACAGUUUACAGCAUGCCAAGCGCUGUGCUAAGGGCUUUAUAUGCAUCAUCUCAAUUAAUCUGUAUAACAGUACCCUGAGGUAGGCCUAUUUUUAUUUCCCUUAAGAGAUAAGAACACUUAGCCUCUGAAUAAUUCUGGGAAUUUAGCCCAAGCCUGCCUGACUCCUAAAUCUGUAUUAUUAGUCUGAGUCUAUGCUAUCUCCACAACCUGACAAAUGAGCCCUUCUACAAUCAUUUGGCUGAAACUUUCAGUUCGUUUUGGUCUCCAUGUCUUAGAAAGGUAAUUAUUUCUAAACUUUGUUGCAUAACAGAAUGACCUGGGGGAUUUUUUUUUUUUUUUUUUAAUAUCUAAGGUGCUCAGCUCUAACAUUCAGAGCCGCAGUUGUUCUGUGGUGUGGUUCAGGAAUCAGUCUUUUAAAGUUCCCAGGUGAUUCUAGCAGGCCAGACUGCAAGUCAAUAUUGGGAAUAAGGGCCUUAGGGGUUAGACCAGUGGUUCUCAAUCUUUAACCUGUAUCAGAAUCACCUGGAGGUCCUGUUAAAACACAGGCUGCUGAGUCCUGCCUCUCAAAGUUUCUAAUUCAGUAGAUUUGGGAUAGGGUCCAAUAAUCUGCAUUUGUGAUAAGUUUCCAUGUAAUCCUACUACCAGUAGUCCAGGGACCACACUUUGAGAACCACUGGGUAAAGCUCUUCUCCUUGCUUUAAAUAUGUUCUUUGUACCUUCCUCAAAUCCAAAUUUCUGCUUAUCCUUAAAGCCAACUUCUCCAUAAGGCCAGCCCACUUUGGAACUUCCGCUCCUUCCUCUUCCGCUUCCUGCAGCCUCUAUUUACCCCGUGUCAUCCAAGCUGGCAGGUUCUGGCAGCCCAGGUGAACAAUGCAUUCUGGCUGUUUUUGUUCUUUCCUGUGAUAGCAGGAUGUCUAACUUCACAGUUAAAAAGCCCGAUAAAUCUGUUUAGGAGCUGCCUGGUAUGUCGAUGUGUACACAUGCUCUCAGCCACAGCGGAACCCCCCCUUCCUCUUCUCCCAUUUAUCUGCCCCAGUCUCUCUGAGGAUGCUAUGAAGGCUGUCUGGACGUGGCUCAGAAAACUGCUGUGAAGACCGCAGGGAGCACAGGACGGCCGAGUCCCCAGCGCUGCCUGUGCCAGGCCUGGCCCACCUGCUGCUGGCACUAGGGACUCAGCACUUUGCGGAAGCUUGGGUAUGACAGCCCUCAGUCGACGUCCCCACUGGCUAAUUUCCACACUCUGAACCAGACCCCUCUCCCUGGGAGCGAGGAGUGAACC
Molecule: long non-coding RNA, 1473 nt
Filed under: Homo sapiens (human)
Lineage: Eukaryota; Metazoa; Chordata; Mammalia; Primates; Hominidae
Description: non-protein coding lnc-STXBP5-5:2
Source: RNAcentral